UAGUCCUGACCGGCAACCUGGAGGCCAAC
RNAcentral lists this small RNA (29 nucleotides) under Bombyx mori (domestic silkworm). RNAcentral describes it as "ovarian small RNA-6464". The record is from RNAcentral. Lineage: Eukaryota; Metazoa; Arthropoda; Insecta; Lepidoptera; Bombycidae.